Long non-coding RNA from Cercocebus atys (sooty mangabey), 1116 nucleotides. RefSeq lists it as uncharacterized. The record is from RefSeq and is a predicted model, not a curated record. NCBI's taxonomy places the organism in Eukaryota, Metazoa, Chordata, Mammalia, Primates, Cercopithecidae. The transcript has 3 exons.
GUUUCCUGAGGCCUCCCCAGCCAUGCUGAACUGGAAGAAGAGACUGGAUCACGGGAAUGCUUUAAUGUGGAAACCCUGAAUUCAUUCCACACAUCUGCCUUCCGGGGACACAGGGUUAACUAGGUACCUGGAACUUCCCUUGAAGGAAUUCAAGAUUUUCCUUCUUUUCUAUGCUGGCGUGGCCUGCAGGCCCCUAAAAUGGGACUCUCUACUCCGUCUCAUUUCUGCUACUAAAAAACAGUGGAAGGGAUGUGAAGUAGAAGGCAACAACAACUAAAAAAGUCUGUUAAAAUAGUCACAGGCUUCUGAGAAGGUGACAAUGGAAACCAUCACUUUCUGUUAUUUUAACUGUCUUUGAUAUUUUUAUUGUGGCCACAAGGAUUCUCCUUCCUCUUAUUACUUUAUGUCUACAUACAACAGACUCAUAUGAAUUCUGAGAAACCAGGUUGGUCAGCCUCCAAGGACAUAUUUUCAAACAGCCACUUCCAAUGUAACUAGUGAGUAUAACAGACAAGAAGAUAUUCUCAGAAGGUGGAUAUGGGGGCAUGGAGAUCAACUGAAUGGAGAGGAGUUAUUAGAAUACAGAAUCAGACCUGAUCAAGGACCUGUCACCACCUUUCAAUGGGGCCUUCACAAUGUCUACCCUGAGGGAUUUCAGAACUGCUAAGUGCUGUCUCCCAUUCUUCCCCUUUCUGUAUGAAAGUAUUGUUUAUUCCUAGGUCCAACAUUCUAUGUUAGAUAUGUGUAGGGGAAGCAGGUAAAAAACGAAGACACACAAUUCUGGCCAAAGGAACAUCUCACUGUAAUGGCAUGACUAUGAGUUUCCAGAUCAGUGACUCCCUGUUUGCCUUAGUAGUGUAUAAAUUAGAAUCCUAUUUGGAAAAUAAAGCUGUUUCUACUAGAAUAUGAUCCAUGACUUCUGUAAACAUUGUAAAAUAUCAUUGUUGACAACCUGCCAUCUGGUGUUAUCACGGUCUCUUAAGAAUGUGAAUCUUUUUCUAAAGCCCUGUAAACUGUGUUUUUCAAUAUCUUCACUUAAAGACUAAUAUGAUGGAUUUUUGAAAAUUACCAUAAGUUUUGAUAUAGCCCCUUUUAAACAACAGUCUAAUAGUUAAA